GGGUUGUGAGGUUAAGCGACUAAGCGUACACGGUGGAUGCCCUGGCAGUCAGAGGCGAUGAAGGACGUGCUAAUCUGCGAUAAGCGUCGGUAAGGUGAUAUGAACCGUUAUAACCGGCGAUUUCCGAAUGGGGAAACCCAGUGUGAUUCGUCACACUAUCAUUAACUGAAUCCAUAGGUUAAUGAGGCGAACCGGGGGAACUGAAACAUCUAAGUACCCCGAGGAAAAGAAAUCAACCGAGAUUCCCCCAGUAGCGGCGAGCGAACGGGGAGCAGCCCAGAGCCUGAAUCAGUGUGUGUGUUAGUGGAAGCGUCUGGAAAGGCGCGCGAUACAGGGUGACAGCCCCGUACACAAAAAUGCACAUGCUGUGAGCUCGAUGAGUAGGGCGGGACACGUGGUAUCCUGUCUGAAUAUGGGGGGACCAUCCUCCAAGGCUAAAUACUCCUGACUGACCGAUAGUGAACCAGUACCGUGAGGGAAAGGCGAAAAGAACCCCGGCGAGGGGAGUGAAAAAGAACCUGAAACCGUGUACGUACAAGCAGUGGGAGCACAGAGCAAUCUGUGUGACUGCGUACCUUUUGUAUAAUGGGUCAGCGACUUAUAUUCUGUAGCAAGGUUAACCGAAUAGGGGAGCCGAAGGGAAACCGAGUCUUAACUGGGCGUUAAGUUGCAGGGUAUAGACCCGAAACCCGGUGAUCUAGCCAUGGGCAGGUUGAAGGUUGGGUAACACUAACUGGAGGACCGAACCGACUAAUGUUGAAAAAUUAGCGGAUGACUUGUGGCUGGGGGUGAAAGGCCAAUCAAACCGGGAGAUAGCUGGUUCUCCCCGAAAGCUAUUUAGGUAGCGCCUCGUGAAUUCAUCUCCGGGGGUAGAGCACUGUUUCGGCAAGGGGGUCAUCCCGACUUACCAACCCGAUGCAAACUGCGAAUACCGGAGAAUGUUAUCACGGGAGACACACGGCGGGUGCUAACGUCCGUCGUGAAGAGGGAAACAACCCAGACCGCCAGCUAAGGUCCCAAAGUCAUGGUUAAGUGGGAAACGAUGUGGGAAGGCCCAGACAGCCAGGAUGUUGGCUUAGAAGCAGCCAUCAUUUAAAGAAAGCGUAAUAGCUCACUGGUCGAGUCGGCCUGCGCGGAAGAUGUAACGGGGCUAAACCAUGCACCGAAGCUGCGGCAGCGACGCUUAUGCGUUGUUGGGUAGGGGAGCGUUCUGUAAGCCUGUGAAGGUGUGCUGUGAGGCAUGCUGGAGGUAUCAGAAGUGCGAAUGCUGACAUAAGUAACGAUAAAGCGGGUGAAAAGCCCGCUCGCCGGAAGACCAAGGGUUCCUGUCCAACGUUAAUCGGGGCAGGGUGAGUCGACCCCUAAGGCGAGGCCGAAAGGCGUAGUCGAUGGGAAACAGGUUAAUAUUCCUGUACUUGGUGUUACUGCGAAGGGGGGACGGAGAAGGCUAUGUUGGCCGGGCGACGGUUGUCCCGGUUUAAGCGUGUAGGCUGGUUUUCCAGGCAAAUCCGGAAAAUCAAGGCUGAGGCGUGAUGACGAGGCACUACGGUGCUGAAGCAACAAAUGCCCUGCUUCCAGGAAAAGCCUCUAAGCAUCAGGUAACAUCAAAUCGUACCCCAAACCGACACAGGUGGUCAGGUAGAGAAUACCAAGGCGCUUGAGAGAACUCGGGUGAAGGAACUAGGCAAAAUGGUGCCGUAACUUCGGGAGAAGGCACGCUGAUAUGUAGGUGAAGUCCCUCGCGGAUGGAGCUGAAAUCAGUCGAAGAUACCAGCUGGCUGCAACUGUUUAUUAAAAACACAGCACUGUGCAAACACGAAAGUGGACGUAUACGGUGUGACGCCUGCCCGGUGCCGGAAGGUUAAUUGAUGGGGUUAGCGCAAGCGAAGCUCUUGAUCGAAGCCCCGGUAAACGGCGGCCGUAACUAUAACGGUCCUAAGGUAGCGAAAUUCCUUGUCGGGUAAGUUCCGACCUGCACGAAUGGCGUAAUGAUGGCCAGGCUGUCUCCACCCGAGACUCAGUGAAAUUGAACUCGCUGUGAAGAUGCAGUGUACCCGCGGCAAGACGGAAAGACCCCGUGAACCUUUACUAUAGCUUGACACUGAACAUUGAGCCUUGAUGUGUAGGAUAGGUGGGAGGCUUUGAAGUGUGGACGCCAGUCUGCAUGGAGCCGACCUUGAAAUACCACCCUUUAAUGUUUGAUGUUCUAACGUUGACCCGUGAUCCGGGUUGCGGACAGUGUCUGGUGGGUAGUUUGACUGGGGCGGUCUCCUCCUAAAGAGUAACGGAGGAGCACGAAGGUUGGCUAAUCCUGGUCGGACAUCAGGAGGUUAGUGCAAUGGCAUAAGCCAGCUUGACUGCGAGCGUGACGGCGCGAGCAGGUGCGAAAGCAGGUCAUAGUGAUCCGGUGGUUCUGAAUGGAAGGGCCAUCGCUCAACGGAUAAAAGGUACUCCGGGGAUAACAGGCUGAUACCGCCCAAGAGUUCAUAUCGACGGCGGUGUUUGGCACCUCGAUGUCGGCUCAUCACAUCCUGGGGCUGAAGUAGGUCCCAAGGGUAUGGCUGUUCGCCAUUUAAAGUGGUACGCGAGCUGGGUUUAGAACGUCGUGAGACAGUUCGGUCCCUAUCUGCCGUGGGCGCUGGAGAAUUGAGGGGGGCUGCUCCUAGUACGAGAGGACCGGAGUGGACGCAUCACUGGUGUUCGGGUUGUCAUGCCAAUGGCACUGCCCGGUAGCUAAAUGCGGAAGAGAUAAGUGCUGAAAGCAUCUAAGCACGAAACUUGCCCCGAGAUGAGUUCUCCCUGACUCCUUGAGAGUCCUGAAGGAACGUUGAAGACGACGACGUUGAUAGGCCGGGUGUGUAAGCGCAGCGAUGCGUUGAGCUAACCGGUACUAAUGAACCGUGAGGCUUAACCUUACAACGCCGAAGGUGUUU
This 2933-nucleotide ribosomal RNA is filed under the name Escherichia coli. Its description in RNAcentral is "23S ribosomal RNA". It matches the Rfam family "Bacterial large subunit ribosomal RNA". The record is from RNAcentral. Lineage: Bacteria; Pseudomonadati; Pseudomonadota; Gammaproteobacteria; Enterobacterales; Enterobacteriaceae.